AACUCCAUUGUCCAUUUUCUCCCAACCUCUCAAGAUUUUCCUAAUAUAAGAAAGCACUGCUAGACGUGUAGUAUUUCCAUUUUUUCAGUCAAUUCUUCUAUCUAAAGAUGUUUUUACCUAGAAACAAUUUUAGCUCUCCUGAGACACAGAAUAUCAUUUAUGUAAAUACCAUAAUCACAAAGCAUCUACGAUGUGCAAAACAUAAUGUUAGACACUAGGAUAUGAUGAGUUAUAAAUAAUUUUCUACAUAUUCUACAAACUGAAAACAUAGUUCAGAAUAAAUUUCCUAAGUCUAACAAAAUCAGUUACAUUUUCCUUAUAUUUAGAUUCGCAAGAAUAUAAAAACAAAGUAAGUUUUUUUACUAUAUUUAUAAAUUUAGAAUACUGUUCUUCUUAUUGUACAUUUUAUUUACUUUCCUUCAAUUUACAUUAGAAAUACUAUACUGAAGAUCUACCAGAUUAUAAACUGAAAUAACCACCAGAUGUCAGUAUCUGCGUGCAAAUGUUCUACUUUGAAAAGAAACUGCUAGCAAAAAGUUGAGUCAAAUCUUUUAUUAAAAGCAUUUCUUUUCUGUCACCGCAACAUGCUCUGGGCUCAUCUUGCAUACUCUCGAUGUCCGCAGGGAAUCGUCAACUUCUCCAAGGAGCCCUGGUUCACUUCUUUGGAGAAUGGUUGUAGAAAUCAAGAUCUGGAUGCUAGAUGUGCUCAUUGCUACUGGGGUGACACUGUAUCUAGUCCCUUUCAGUGGGCAGAGCUAGGAAAUAUAUCUAUGUAUAUUAACCCCAUGUAUACACAUCUAUAUUAAUGUCUACAUCUAAUAUUUAUUAAAACAACAACAGUAUAUUAAAAUAUGAGUUCAAGCUGAUUCCACUUGACUCCAAUUCAGCACCACAGGGCUCAUUCUAUAUUCUCCACCCAUCCAUCCACUAGCCCUCCUGGCUCCCAUUCCUUCUUUGUAACUUGUUUCUCCAACAAUGAGAAACCCGGAUCCCAUUACCUACAAUAUAUUUACUCAUUUACUCAUUUACACUUACCGAUUUUACAGAAGCAAUCAGACAAUGAAAAAGGACCUUUCAUGAAGGAGAUUUGCACUGACUGG
RNAcentral lists this long non-coding RNA (1100 nucleotides) under Equus caballus (horse). Its description in RNAcentral is "lncRNA (ENSECAG00000043672.2)". The record is from RNAcentral. Lineage: Eukaryota; Metazoa; Chordata; Mammalia; Perissodactyla; Equidae.